CCCAGACAGCCAGGAUGUUGGCUUAGAAGCAGCCAUCAUUUAAAGAAAGCGUAAUAGCUCACUGGUCGAGUCGGCCUGCGCGGAAGAUGUAACGGGGCUAAACCAUGCACCGAAGCUGCGGCAGCGACGCUGAUGCGUUGUUGGGUAGGGGAGCGUUCUGUAAGCCUGCGAAGGUGUGUCGUGAGGCAUGCUGGAGGUAUCAGAAGUGCGAAUGCUGACAUAAGUAACGAUAAAGCGGGUGAAAAGCCCGCUCGCCGGAAGACCAAGGGUUCCUGUCCAACGUUAAUCGGGGCAGGGUGAGUCGACCCCUAAGGC
This 315-nucleotide ribosomal RNA is filed under the name Salmonella enterica subsp. enterica serovar 4,[5],12:i:-. RNAcentral describes it as "bacterial LSU rRNA". It matches the Rfam family "Bacterial large subunit ribosomal RNA", at positions 1084 to 1397 of the family's 2925-position model. Lineage: Bacteria; Pseudomonadati; Pseudomonadota; Gammaproteobacteria; Enterobacterales; Enterobacteriaceae. The record is from RNAcentral.